Molecule: ribosomal RNA, 730 nt
Filed under: uncultured bacterium
Lineage: Bacteria
Description: bacterial SSU rRNA
Rfam family: Bacterial small subunit ribosomal RNA
Source: RNAcentral
AACAGGAUUAGAUACCCUGGUAGUCCACGCCGUAAGCGAUGUCGACUUGGAGGUUGUUCCCUUGAGGAGUGGCUUCCGGAGCUAACGCGUUAAGUCGACCGCCUGGGGAGUACGGCCGCAAGGUUAAAACUCAAAUGAAUUGACGGGGGCCCGCACAAGCGGUGGAGCAUGUAGUUUAAUUCGAUGCAACGCGAAGAACCUUACCUACUCUUGACAUCCAGAGAACUUUCCAGAGAUGGAUUGGUGCCUUCGGGAACUCUGAGACAGGUGCUGCAUGGCUGUCGUCAGCUCGUGUUGUGAAAUGUUGGGUUAAGUCCCGCAACGAGCGCAACCCUUAUCCUUUGUUGCCAGCGGUUCGGCCGGGAACUCAAAGGAGACUGCCAGUGAUAAACUGGAGGAAGGUGGGGUUGACGUCAAGUCAUCAUGGCCCUUACGAGUAGGGCUACACACGUGCUACAAUGGCGCAUACAGAGAGAAGCGACCUCGCGAGAGCAAGCGGACCUCAUAAAGUGCGUCGUAGUCCGGAUUGGAGUCUGCAACUCGACUCCAUGAAGUCGGAAUCGCUAGUAAUCGUAGAUCAGAAUGCUACGGUGAAUACGUUCCCGGGCCUUGUACACACCGCCCGUCACACCAUGGGAGUGGGUUGCAAAAGAAGUAGGUAGCUUAACCUUCGGGAGGGCGCUUACCACUUUGUGAUUCAUGACUGGGGUGAAGUCGUAACAAGGUAACC